ACAUACGACCACACCUAUCAGAAAAUUCGGGAUCCCGUCUGCUCUCCCAUAGACAAGCUGAUGAGGGGCGGAUUAGUAGUUAGGACGGUGACGACUAGCGAAUACCCGCUGUUGUAUGUU
Molecule: non-coding RNA, 120 nt
Organism: Fusarium oxysporum f. sp. cubense
Lineage: Eukaryota; Fungi; Ascomycota; Sordariomycetes; Hypocreales; Nectriaceae
Source: Rfam